GACGAACGCUGGCGGCGUGCCUAAUACAUGCAAGUAGAACGCUGAAGGAGGAGCUUGCUCUUCUGGAUGAGUUGCGAACGGGUGAGUAACGCGUAGGUAACCUGCCUGGUAGCGGGGGAUAACUAUUGGAAACGAUAGCUAAUACCGCAUAAGAGUAGAUGUUGCAUGACAUUUGCUUAAAAGGUGCAAUUGCAUCACUACCAGAUGGUCCUGCGUUGUAUUAGCUAGUUGGUGGGGUAACGGCUCACCAAGGCGACGAUACAUAGCCGACCUGAGAGGGUGAUCGGCCACACUGGGACUGAGACACGGCCCAGACUCCUACGGGAGGCAGCAGUAGGGAAUCUUCGGCAAUGGACGGAAGUCUGACCGAGCAACGCCGCGUGAGUGAAGAAGGUUUUCGGAUCGUAAAGCUCUGUUGUAAGAGAAGAACGAGUGUGAGAGUGGAAAGUUCACACUGUGACGGUAUCUUACCAGAAAGGGACGGCUAACUACGUG
RNAcentral lists this ribosomal RNA (495 nucleotides) under uncultured bacterium. RNAcentral's name for it is "partial 16S ribosomal RNA". It matches the Rfam family "Bacterial small subunit ribosomal RNA", at positions 28 to 507 of the family's 1533-position model. The record is from RNAcentral.